This 253-nucleotide ribosomal RNA is filed under the name uncultured bacterium. Its description in RNAcentral is "partial 16S ribosomal RNA". It matches the Rfam family "Bacterial small subunit ribosomal RNA", at positions 524 to 776 of the family's 1533-position model. The record is from RNAcentral.
UACGGGGGGGGCAAGCGUUGUUCGGAAUUACUGGGCGUAAAGGGUUCGUAGGUGGCCAACUAAGCCAGACGUGAAAUCCCUCAGCUUAACUGGGGAACUGCGUCUGGGACUGGAUGGCUUGAGUGCAGGAGAGGAACGCGGAAUUCCAGGUGUAGCGGUGAAAUGCGUAGGUAUCUGGAGGAACACCGGUGGCGAAGGCGGCGUUCUGGACUGCAACUGACACUGAGGAACGAAAGCCAGGGGAGCAAACGGG